GACGAACGCUGGCGGCGUGCCUAAUACAUGCAAGUUGAGCGCUGAAGGUUGGUACUUGUACCAACUGGAUGAGCAGCGAACGGGUGAGUAACGCGUGGGGAAUCUGCCUUUGAGCGGGGGACAACAUUUGGAAACGAAUGCUAAUACCGCAUAAAAACUUUAAACACAAGUUUUAAGUUUGAAAGAUGCAAUUGCAUCACUCAAAGAUGAUCCCGCGUUGUAUUAGCUAGUUGGUGAGGUAAAGGCUCACCAAGGCGAUGAUACGUAGCCGACCUGAGAGGGUGAUCGGCCACAUUGGGACUGAGACACGGCCCAAACUCCUACGGGAGGCAGCAGUAGGGAAUCUUCGGCAAUGGACGAAAGUCUGACCGAGCAACGCCGCGUGAGUGAAGAAGGUUUUCGGAUCGUAAAACUCUGUUGGUAGAGAAGAACGUUGGUGAGAGUGGAAAGCUCAUCAAGUGACGGUAACUACCCAGAAAGGGGCGGCUAACUACGUG
Molecule: ribosomal RNA, 497 nt
Filed under: uncultured bacterium
Lineage: Bacteria
Description: partial 16S ribosomal RNA
Rfam family: Bacterial small subunit ribosomal RNA
Source: RNAcentral